CUGAAUUUGGCCUAUGUGCUAUAGUUUGCCACCCCCAAUCUAAAGCCUAUAGCUAUAAGGUCCUUUAUCAAACUUCAGACAGAUCUGAAAGUGUGCCACAUAGACCGUCUCUACUAGACAGGUUUCUAAGACUCUUGAAACCAUUGUUCCACAGCAUACUGAGUUUCAGGUAAGCCAUAGAGAGGUCUAUCACAAGGAAAUCACUGGGCAUGGAUUUUGUCCAGUAGAGUUAAUCUCAACAAGAUUAAAAGAAAGCCUACAAUUUUUUUUUGAAUAUUGUAUUGGUGAAAGCAUGAUCAGCUUGGACUGAAGGGGACAGAAAAGGUUCACCAUUAAACAAAACAAAAUACCACAAAACAUUCAGAACCUCGGAACUUCUAUUGGCAGGAUAUAAUGUGAUCUAUUUGGAAAGAACUGAGAUCAUAACAACAGUGAAGAUGAACUUCUAGUCUAUGAGCAAGUGGCGUUGCAAUGUUUGUAUCUCAGGAAGAAAACAUCCCAUCCAGUCCACAAAUAGCUAUCACAUUGAAACAAGCCAAAGAGUCAUCGUGAUCACAGCUAUCAAAAGAAGUAUUAAAAGGAUAGUAUGGAAUUCAACCCAGCAUGACCACAGAAGUGGGACGCUCAGUCAGCCACGCCUGUAUUGUGUUCAACCACGUGAGCUAAGAGCUCUAACUACUACGGCCAUAGUUUCAAAUCACCUGUCAUGAUGAGGUGCCAGAUUUCUUUAUUUUCUGGUUGAUUCAGAGACAGAAAGUAUUUUCAUUAAAGAUCUUGGAUAAAUAUGUCAAAUCACUAAUAAUAUUAAACACUGAAGACUUCAAUAA
Long non-coding RNA from Gorilla gorilla gorilla (western lowland gorilla), 827 nucleotides. RefSeq lists it as uncharacterized. The record is from RefSeq and is a predicted model, not a curated record. Lineage: Eukaryota; Metazoa; Chordata; Mammalia; Primates; Hominidae. The transcript has 3 exons.